CAUUAUUCUUGGUAGUUUGUGAGCUGGGAUUGUUUUCCCCUUUAAUCCUUUCAGCACUGCAAAGAUAUUUUUUCACUAUUUUUCAACCUCCGUGAUACUUGAUAAGAGAUUCCAAAGGGAGGAGUACUUCUACCAGGAGACAAAACAAUGACUCCACUGAACUAGAAGAAAGGACUGCUGCCCAGCCACUUUGGACUCCUCAUCUUCUGAAUCAACAGGCAAAGAAGAGAGUUGCUGUGCUGAUGGGGUGAUUCAUCCUGACUACCAAGGGGAAAUUGGACUUCUACUCCACAAUAGAUGUAAGGAAUAGUAUGCUGGAGUACCGGAGAUCCCUUAGGCUGUCUCAGUAUUACCAUGCCCCGUG
Molecule: long non-coding RNA, 364 nt
Organism: Zalophus californianus (California sea lion)
Lineage: Eukaryota; Metazoa; Chordata; Mammalia; Carnivora; Otariidae
Exons: 3
Source: RefSeq, a predicted model, not a curated record